This 238-nucleotide ribosomal RNA is filed under the name uncultured bacterium. RNAcentral's name for it is "partial 16S ribosomal RNA". It matches the Rfam family "Bacterial small subunit ribosomal RNA", at positions 86 to 334 of the family's 1533-position model. The record is from RNAcentral.
CCCAGUCGAGCGGCGGACGGGUGAGUAACGCGUGGAUGAUCUACCUUUUGGUGGGGGAUAACCCGGGGAAACUCGGGCUAAUACCGCAUGAGAUCGCGAGAUGAAAGGGGCGCAAGUCCCGCCGGAAGAGGAGUCCGCGUCCGAUUAGCUGGUUGGUAGGGUAAUGGCCUACCAAGGCGACGAUCGGUAGCCGGCCUGAGAGGGUGAUCGGCCACACUGGAACUGAGACACGGUCCAG